AGAAAAGUUUAAAACAUAUUCCAGAUCCUUCUACUAACAGAUACUAAAAAAACCCUUCAUUUAGAAAAACAGUCCUAAGAGGAAAACUUGAAAUAAAAUUAAAAGUAAAACAACAGUAGGAGACUUUAUCUUACCUUUUGCAUCAUGGUCUAACAAGAUCAUUCAGACAACAGCUCUUUCACCCGAAAGGUGACGAGCUAACUCUCUCUUCUUACAGAGACCUUACCCACUGUUGCAGUAGUGGCAAAAAAGGGAGAGUUAGAAGUUAAAUGCUUAUCGUGUUACCUUAUAGCUGGUUUUCAGGGAAAGAGGUAUAAGCCUCUCUAUCCUACGCCAGAAAUCCUUGUCCAUCGGAAACAAAUAAAGGACCCCCGCAGAGAAUAGAAAGAGAGUAGGAGACAAGUUCCACUCUCAAAAGGGAAACAACCCAGAGUGUAAAAAAAGUCAAACAAGGAAAGGAUUUAUCUAUUUUAUAGACCUUACUGUAGGCCUAACAGCUGCCAACAGCCAAGAAAGCGUUAAAGCUCAAAAUUUAUCCUAAUCCAAUGAUUCCUGAAAAUAGUACUUAUUUUCUCUAAAAUUACCUGAAAGAAAUAAUGUUAGAACAAGUAAGAAGAAAUAAAAACCUCCUUUUGCAAAGAAUAAAUAACAGAUAAGAACAAAUCAAGAAGUUCUCAACCAAGUGUUCUAUCAACUCAGACCCAAAGAAAGGAAGGAAAAAUGGUAGGAAAGGAACUCGGCAAACAUAUAAGAGGACUGUUUACCAAAAACAUAGCUCUCCGAAAAUAUGGAGGGUCACGCCUGCCCAGUGGUUUAGACUAAACGGCCGCGGUACCUUGACCGUGCAAAGGUAGCAUAAUCAUUUGUCUCUUAAAUGGGGACUUGUAUGAACGGCAAAACCUCUUCUAACUGUCUCUCCUAUCCUCCUCCUAAACUUCUAUCAGCGUGAAGAAACGCUGAUAUAUCAGAAAGACGAGAAGACCCUGUCGAGCUUAAGUCUAAAAAGAGAAGGUAUAUGCGCUUACAGCAGAAAGUUAAUAUCUUAUGAAGACUUUGGUUGGGGCAACCAUGGAGAACAACUUAACCUCCAGAGCGAACAGAAGAACUUCACCUCUCUGUUUUUAAACCUAGAGAACCAGAAACUGGAAAUCGGAAAAAGUUACCGCAGGGAUAACAGCGUUAUCUUCUCUGAGAGUCCUUAUUGACGAGAAGGCUUGCGACCUCGAUGUUGGAUUGGGGCCCCCUUAGGGUGCAGAAGCUCUAAAUGGUUGGACUGUUCGUCCAUUAAAGCCCUACAUGAUCUGAGUUCAGACCGACGAGAGUCAGGUCAGCUUCUAUCUUCUUACAGGUUUUCCCAGUACGAAAGGACCGGAAAGCCCCUUUCCAUGGAAAUCUCUAAAAAGGAAGAAAAAAUUAAAAAUUCUAUAAAAAAAAUUUCCCUUAGUGAGAAACUAAGCCCUUGCCAAAAAUUAAUAUAUUUAUUUAGGAUUGAGAAUCUAGUAAAAAGCAAAUUUUUUAAUUUUUCUACAAGACCCCCCCCUUAUUAGUUUUUGAAUAUAUCCCAUAUUUUACAAAUC
RNAcentral lists this ribosomal RNA (1577 nucleotides) under Holothuria forskali. Its description in RNAcentral is "16S ribosomal RNA". It matches the Rfam family "Bacterial large subunit ribosomal RNA". Lineage: Eukaryota; Metazoa; Echinodermata; Holothuroidea; Aspidochirotida; Holothuriidae. The record is from RNAcentral.